GGAGACCGCUGGGCGGGGACGCGAGGAGGGAAGGGGCGUCUGUGGGCGGGACCUCCCGGGAUUGGAGUGAAGAGGGUAUCUGCUUGACAGUGGAUCCCUGGGGAUCUACGCUGAGUUCGGAGAUGCUCCAGCUCGGGCCGCCCCUGUCUGAGCGGAGCUUUGCGGCGCUGAAGCUUACAGGGGAAGGAAAAGCCUCGCCCGGCGUCUGAUUGGCGGAACCGCGCUGUAGGAUUCUUUCCUCAGGGAUCCAGUCUAGGGGAUCUGGUGGGAUGGAGGGUCGUCGAUGUAUGGAGUAUUGCUUUGGAGUCCUCGGCCACUCGCUGGGAGAGGAGGAGGAUCGCAGAGGGAUCCAGCGGAAAUAGCCUCCCAGGACCGGGAUCCCCGUGGAUCCCGGGGGAUCUCGGGGCAUAAUCUGCAGGGACAAAGGCCUCGGGAGGCUCGGGCCGCGGGAGAACUGGGGCCGCUGCAUUCUGGGUUCUGGCGGCAGGUGCCAGGCAGGGCGCGAGUGAUCCGCUGAUCGAGGCGGUGGCAGCGGGAGGACACCCGCUCCGGGCGACCGGCCGGGGGCGCCCUUUCGCGCCCCAGGGCUGCGGCCGCUGGGCUACGGGGAGCCGCGGGCGGACCAUGAAGGGCGGAGCCCCAGGGAAGGGGCCGGCCCUCACCCCCCGCUCCCCCGCUCCCCCCUUACCCCAGGCCGCAGCCUGGGAUUCCCCAGGGACCCCCCCGGAGCCGCCGCGUCUCCCAUGGACUUGCCCGGGGACUCCAGCCCGCCUGGCCAGCCGCGUCUGUGCCGCCAGCCUCUGACUCGAGCAUUAUGGGGAGCCAGGAGCCCGAAACGGCCGAGGCUGCAGCUCCCGGGGGCCCCUUCUCCCCUGGAAAAGGCCUCUCGGCGGGUCCUGGCCGUGGUGCUAGAAGAUGUCAUGGCUGUUCACAUGGUCCCCGUGGUGCCCUCAAAGCAGACCUCCAUACCACAGCACCACAGCUACCAUCAGGAU
RNAcentral lists this long non-coding RNA (995 nucleotides) under Homo sapiens (human). RNAcentral's name for it is "long non-coding RNA NONHSAT172864.1". The record is from RNAcentral. Lineage: Eukaryota; Metazoa; Chordata; Mammalia; Primates; Hominidae.